UACGUAGGGUGCGAGCGUUAAUCGGAAUUACUGGGCGUAAAGCGUGCGCAGGCGGUUUUGUAAGACAGAUGUGAAAUCCCCGGGCUUAACCUGGGAACUGCAUUUGUGACUGCAAGACUAGAGUGCGGCAGAGGGGGGUAGAAUUCCACGUGGAGCAGUGAAAUGCGUAGAGAUGUGGAGGAAUAACGAUGGAGAAGGCAGCAACCGGGGUCGACACUGAUGCUCAUGCACGAAAGCGUGGGGAGCAAACAGG
RNAcentral lists this ribosomal RNA (253 nucleotides) under uncultured bacterium. RNAcentral describes it as "partial 16S ribosomal RNA". It matches the Rfam family "Bacterial small subunit ribosomal RNA", at positions 524 to 776 of the family's 1533-position model. The record is from RNAcentral.